GAUGAACGCUGGCGGCGUGCUUAACACAUGCAAGUCGAACGAAGCACUUUAUUUGAUUUCCUUCGGGACUGAUUAUUUUGUGACUGAGUGGCGGACGGGUGAGUAACGCGUGGGUAACCUGCCUUGUACAGGGGGAUAACAGUUGGAAACGGCUGCUAAUACCGCAUAAGCGCCCAGCAUCGCAUGAUGCAGUGUGAAAAACUCCGGUGGUAUAAGAUGGACCCGCGUUGGAUUAGCUAGUUGGUGAGGUAACGGCCCACCAAGGCGACGAUCCAUAGCCGAGCUGAGAGGGUGACCGGCCACAUUGGGACUGAGACACGGCCCAAACUCCUACGGGAGGCAGCAGUGGGGAAUAUUGCACAAUGGGCGAAAGCCUGAUGCAGCGACGCCGCGUGAGCGAAGAAGUAUUUCGGUAUGUAAAGCUCUAUCAGCAGGGAAGAUAAUGACGGUACCUGACUAAGAAGCACCGGCUAAAUACGUG
Molecule: ribosomal RNA, 481 nt
Filed under: uncultured bacterium
Lineage: Bacteria
Description: partial 16S ribosomal RNA
Rfam family: Bacterial small subunit ribosomal RNA
Source: RNAcentral